GUCUUUUAAUUGAAGGCUGGUAUGAAUGGUUGGACGAGGUAUUAACUGUUUCAAAUAAAUUUUUUAUAGAAUUUUAUUUUUUAGUCAAAAAGCUAAAAUAUAAUUAAAAGACGAGAAGACCCUAUAAAUCUUUACUUUUAAAUUAUUUUAAUUAUAAAGAUAAAUUUUAUUAUAAUAAUAAAAAAAGUUUUAUUGGGGUGAUAUUAAAAUUUAAUAAACUUUUAAUUUUGAUAAAACAUAAAUUAAUGAAUAAUUGAUCCGUUAUUAAUGAUUAGAAAAUUAAGUUACUUUAGGGAUAACAGCGUAAUUUUUUUGGAGAGUUCUUAUCGAUAAAAAAGAUUGCGACCUCGAUGUUGGAUUAAGAAAAAAUUUAGGUGUAGCCG
Molecule: ribosomal RNA, 383 nt
Filed under: Sepsis sp. 'Isangi'
Lineage: Eukaryota; Metazoa; Arthropoda; Insecta; Diptera; Sepsidae
Description: partial 16S ribosomal RNA
Source: RNAcentral